This is an RNA transcript of Mauremys mutica (yellowpond turtle), 873 nucleotides long. It is a transcript of the gene named collagenase 3-like, with no coding region annotated. Lineage: Eukaryota; Metazoa; Chordata; Testudines; Geoemydidae. The record is from RefSeq and is a predicted model, not a curated record. The transcript has 3 exons.
UUCAGGGGAUAGCUAGAGUUUGAUUCUGGAAGCAUUUGUUUAAGCUGUGUUUGCAGGAAGAGAGUCCCUAAGAACUUUAACCCUGAGGUGAGAGUGAAGCUGAAAGUGGCCGGUAGGAAGAAGCAACAAUGAACUGAAAAAAAGCAGUGCUUAGCUACUGUUCACAGGGUCCAUGGUUUGGAAGCCAGAGUUAUGGGCAGGCCCAGUUCCCCUACCAUCUACAGUGGCAUAAGCCCCAGGAAGGGGAAAAUGCUUAUGGAGAGCUUGAACAAAGGGCAGAAUUUCAAGGACCCAGAGUUGGGGCUGGAGACCCUAGUGAGGGCAAUGGGACUGUUCUUGACUUUCCCAGAGGGGUUCAUUUGGACUUCGGGACUUAGCCAGAGGCCUGAGCCACAGAAGACUCACAGCUGGCAGGGUUCCCCAGGGGUGAGAAAAGGACUGUGGUACCAUAUCCAGCCACUAAGAGGCUCUCAAAAGGUCCUAGCACAAUGGGAAUCUGGUCUGUGACUGGGACUAUGAGGCAGUACGCAAUAGAAAUAAUCACAUGCUGAUCUACAGAAAUACUUUUGUACCCUGGCCUCUCCACUGGCUUAAGAGAUUAGUCACUGAAAAUGGAAGUAUGUGAACUUGACAUCUGCAGUUUAACUCAGUCCCUUCAUCUCCUGCACUGAGUGUUCUUUCUGCUCAGUACACGCUGUCUGAAUGCACAGGAGAACCGUGAUGGAUGGUGACAAAGAGCCUGGAGACUUUUUCCCCAUUUGAUGGGUCUUGUGGUGAGCUGGGUCAUGUAUAUGGACCUGGAGAAGAAAGAGGAGGUGGCAUUCAUUUGGAUGAAGAGGAAUUUUGGACAAUGGAUUAUGUCUGGAAAGGCAG